This 72-nucleotide transfer RNA is filed under the name Trachydiscus minutus. Its description in RNAcentral is "tRNA-Glu". It matches the Rfam family "tRNA". Rfam says of the family: Transfer RNA (tRNA) molecules are approximately 80 nucleotides in length. Their secondary structure includes four short double-helical elements and three loops (D, anti-codon, and T loops). RNAcentral also lists the same sequence under 4 other names. Lineage: Eukaryota; Eustigmatophyceae; Goniochloridales; Goniochloridaceae. The record is from RNAcentral.
GUCCCUUUCGUCUAGUGGUUAGGACAUUACCCUUUCACGGUAGUAACACGGGUUCGAGUCCCGUAAGGGAUA